This 18-nucleotide small nuclear RNA is filed under the name Arabidopsis thaliana (thale cress). RNAcentral's name for it is "snRNA_08462". The record is from RNAcentral. Lineage: Eukaryota; Viridiplantae; Streptophyta; Magnoliopsida; Brassicales; Brassicaceae.
AAGGUUGUUUUUUUUUUU